Molecule: ribosomal RNA, 372 nt
Filed under: uncultured bacterium
Lineage: Bacteria
Description: bacterial SSU rRNA
Rfam family: Bacterial small subunit ribosomal RNA
Source: RNAcentral
UAAUACGUAGGUGGCGAGCGUUAUCCGGAAUUAUUGGGCGUAAAGAGGGAGCAGGCGGCACUAAGGGUCUGUGGUGAAAGAUCGAAGCUUAACUUCGGUAAGCCAUGGAAACCGUAGAGCUAGAGUGUGUGAGAGGAUCGUGGAAUUCCAUGUGUAGCGGUGAAAUGCGUAGAUAUAUGGAGGAACACCAGUGGCGAAGGCGACGAUCUGGCGCAUAACUGACGCUCAGUCCCGAAAGCGUGGGGAGCAAAUAGGAUUAGAUACCCUAGUAGUCCACGCCGUAAACGAUGAGUACUAAGUGUUGGGAGUCAAAUCUCAGUGCUGCAGUUAACGCAAUAAGUACUCCGCCUGAGUAGUACGUUCGCAAGAAUG